This 876-nucleotide long non-coding RNA is filed under the name Malus domestica (apple). RNAcentral's name for it is "long non-coding RNA (MDOM_LNC007606)". Lineage: Eukaryota; Viridiplantae; Streptophyta; Magnoliopsida; Rosales; Rosaceae. The record is from RNAcentral.
UUAGUGCAAUGUUUGGAGCUAAUUGAUUAGCCAAUGCCCAAGUAUGAUGUAUAGGAGACAUAGCGGACGGUUAGCAUCCCACAUUAACAAUAUUGUCUCUUAAUUAUAAAUGUUAUAAUAUGUCACUUAAUCCUACAAUUAGUGGUAUUUUUUCAUUUGUAAGUGUCUUAAGUUCAAAUUUCAUGAUUGACGAGUUUGAUACUAAUUUAUUCAUUUCAUCAUUUAAUAUAAAUAUAUCGUUGUAUCAUAUAAAUGUUACAAUGCCAUUUACAUUAGCUAUUUCCAAGGUUCUAAAAAACGCAAUGCGCUAGUCGAGCUGCGAGCUAGCACCUAGCGCCUAGGCGGCCUAGGCGGAUUUAGGUAAAUUUCUUGUAUAUCUUGUAAAUAAGUGCAUAUUGACACAUAAAAAAUUAUACUUGUAUGAAAUUCAUGGAUAAGAUAAUAAAAGAAUAAUAAAAUACAAAAAGAGUAUCUAACAAGUUCAAAAUUUAAAAACACAUUAAAAAUAUAUACCAUAUAACUUAAGACAUUUUGAAUGAUUAGUAAGUUAAAUUAAUUAAAUUUAGAGAGAUAAAAUAUAAUUCAAGACAUUUUAAAUAAUUAGUAUUUCGUUUUUAAACAAUAAAUAUUAAAAAACCACCUAGUGGGUUGGGUAAUUCAUAAACAUUUAAAAAACAAAAGCUUGUUCAUAAAAGUCCACAUGUGAGGUUUGACACCUUCCCUUCACCCCACUUUCGUACAUCAGAUUGGAUUCCAAAAGGUGGAGCCGUUUUUACGCCUUGGAAAGUUGACACAUUAUUUUUUAGGAAAACUAAUGAAAAGAGCUUGAAAACUUUGAGUUUUAACGAUAAUGACAAAAUAAAGGGUAAAGUGAAU